CGAACGGGUGAGUAACGCGUGAGGAACCUGCCUCAAAGAGGGGGACAACAGUUGGAAACGACUGCUAAUACCGCAUAAGCCCACGGCUCGGCAUCGAGCAGAGGGAAAAGGAGUGAUCCGCUUUGAGAUGGCCUCGCGUCCGAUUAGCUGGUUGGUGAGGUAACGGCCCACCAGGGCGACGAUCGGUAGCCGGACUGAGAGGUUGAACGGCCACAUUGGGACUGAGACACGGCCCAG
This 237-nucleotide ribosomal RNA is filed under the name uncultured bacterium. RNAcentral's name for it is "partial 16S ribosomal RNA". It matches the Rfam family "Bacterial small subunit ribosomal RNA", at positions 99 to 334 of the family's 1533-position model. The record is from RNAcentral.